Molecule: long non-coding RNA, 526 nt
Organism: Mytilus trossulus (common blue mussel)
Lineage: Eukaryota; Metazoa; Mollusca; Bivalvia; Mytilida; Mytilidae
Exons: 3
Source: RefSeq, a predicted model, not a curated record
CAGCCACUUACAGAAAUUCUUAAAGUUACAGAAAGAGACGAUUGUUACGACAAGUCAGAGAUGGCGGAUCCUUUUCGAAUCAUCUACGGAUUGCUAUUGUUCAUGUAUCUAAAAAUGGAUCCCACCAGAACACAAAGACUAAGUCUAUGAGGAAAAUAAAGUUUUUGAUCAACGACUAAAAAUUGUCAUGAACAGAUAAAAUAUGAGAUAGAGACAGAACUGGUAUGAAAGGUGACAGUAGAACAUUGAAAUAAUUUGAAAGAAACAAGUUGGCAAAGAUAUAUAUCACAUGCAUAGGAAGAUCAAUGGAAAAUAACAUUGAAGCAGAAUUAUGAAACAGUUAUUAAAAAAAAACCAUUAAAUUGAGAGAGAGAAAAACACAUUUUUUUACUUUUUAAUGCUGUUCAUUCUUAAGAUUACUGUUUAUUGUAUUUCGAUGGAAGUUAUUGCAGUUGAUAAGAAGAUAGAACAAAAAUUUGAGUUCUUCAGCUUGUUUUAUUCAGUCAAUAAAAAUUAAUUUUGAAAA